Nomascus leucogenys (northern white-cheeked gibbon) is the source of this 803-nucleotide long non-coding RNA. RefSeq lists it as uncharacterized. NCBI's taxonomy places the organism in Eukaryota, Metazoa, Chordata, Mammalia, Primates, Hylobatidae. The transcript is spliced from 5 exons. The record is from RefSeq and is a predicted model, not a curated record.
CCUGGCUCCAGGUACAGGCAACCCUCACUGAGCGCGGGGCUUAGGCAGCCCCUGUCUCGAGGCCCAGGCACCCGCUCCGGACCCCUAGAACUUAGGAGUCUGGCUUCUCUCCAUCAUCUUAGGAAUCGGAGCUCAGCAAGAAGCGAAAGAAAUGCCAGAGCCUGGAGCAGGAGGCCCGGAAAAAGCAGAGGCGAUGUGAGGAGCUGGAACUGCAGCUGAGAGAAGCGCAGAACUGGUGGAGGAGAACUCCCGGCUCAGUGGGAGAGCCCCAGAGAAGGAGCAGGUACCACUUCCGCCCAGGUGGAGUGGGAGAAUGCGGAGCUGAGGGGCCAGCUCCUGGGGGUGACACGGGAGAGGGACUCAGCCCUUCGCAAGAGCCAGGGCCUGCAGAGCAAGCUGGAGAGCCUGGAGCAAGUGCUGAAGAUCUUCUCUAGAAAUGGCCAAGUGGGGGCUCUGGCCUUGACUCGGAUCUUGUGUGUCAGCACCUUCGGGAGGUGGCCCAGCGGCGGCAGCAGCUGGAGGUGGAGCAUGAACAGGCUCGGCUCAGCCUACGGGAGAAGCAGGAGGAGGUCCGGAGGCUGCAGCAGGUGGGGCGGCAGUGAGGGAAGCUGGCAGGCUGCUGGACACCAGCGUUGCCACUCACUCAUUCCACAAGCAUUUACUGUGUGCCCGGCACUGCGCUAGGCGUCGGGGAGACUGUGGGGAACAAAGACCAGGUCCCUGAGCAGUCACAGUGGCUCAUGUCUGUAAUCCCAACAGUUUAGAAGGCCAAGGCAAGAGAAUCACUUGAGGCCAGGAGUUCA